This 479-nucleotide ribosomal RNA is filed under the name Cryptosporidium microti. RNAcentral describes it as "SSU rRNA". It matches the Rfam family "Eukaryotic small subunit ribosomal RNA", at positions 514 to 1024 of the family's 1831-position model. RNAcentral also lists the same sequence under 1 other name. Lineage: Eukaryota; Apicomplexa; Conoidasida; Eucoccidiorida; Cryptosporidiidae. The record is from RNAcentral.
AUGAGUUAAGUAUAAACCCCUUUACAAGUAUCAAUUGGAGGGCAAGUCUGGUGCCAGCAGCCGCGGUAAUUCCAGCUCCAAUAGCGUAUAUUAAAGUUGUUGCAGUUAAAAAGCUCGUAGUUGGAUUUCUGUUAAUAAUUUAUAUAAUAUUUUAACGAUAUUAUAUAAUAUUAACAUAAUUCAUAUUACUAUUUGAAUAGUAUAUGAAAUUUUACUUUGAGAAAAUUAGAGUGCUUAAAGCAGGCAUUAGCCUUGAAUACUCCAGCAUGGAAUAAUAUAAAAGAUUUUUAUCUUUUUUAUUGGUUCUAAGAUAAAAAUAAUGAUUAAUAGGGACAGUUGGGGGCAUUUGUAUUUAACAGUCAGAGGUGAAAUUCUUAGAUUUGUUAAAGACAAACUAAUGCGAAAGCAUUUGCCAAGGAUGUUUUCAUUAAUCAAGAACGAAAGUUAGGGGAUCGAAGACGAUCAGAUACCGUCGUAGU